UGCAUCGGCCGGGAAUCGAACCCGGGCCGCCCGCGUGGCAGGCGAGCAUUCUACCACAUUCAAACAGACAGAAUAAGGC
Non-coding RNA from Cordylochernes scorpioides, 79 nucleotides. NCBI's taxonomy places the organism in Eukaryota, Metazoa, Arthropoda, Arachnida, Pseudoscorpiones, Chernetidae. The record is from the annotation of a GenBank genome assembly.